RNAcentral lists this microRNA (22 nucleotides) under Branchiostoma floridae (Florida lancelet). RNAcentral describes it as "bfl-miR-4879". RNAcentral also lists the same sequence under 2 other names. Lineage: Eukaryota; Metazoa; Chordata; Leptocardii; Amphioxiformes; Branchiostomatidae. The record is from miRBase by way of RNAcentral.
UAAACUAUCGUUCUGGGAACAG